Molecule: ribosomal RNA, 779 nt
Filed under: marine metagenome
Description: bacterial SSU rRNA
Rfam family: Bacterial small subunit ribosomal RNA
Source: RNAcentral
AGAGUUUGAUCCUGGCUCAGGGUGAACGCUGGCGGUGCGCCUAAUGCAUGCAAGUCGAGCGAACCUGUGACUUCGGUCACACAUAGGUUAGCGGCAGACGGCUGAGUAACACGUGAGUAACUUGCCUUUUGGUGGGGUAUAGCCCAGAGAAAUCUGGAUUAAUCCCGCAUAAGAUCUUAGAACCCUGGUUCUUUGAUGAAAGCCUUCGGGCGCCGAAAGAGAGGCUCGCGGACUAUCAGGUAGUUGGUAGGGUAAUGGCCUACCAAGCCUAAGACGGUUAGCUGGUCUGAGAGGAUGAUCAGUCAGAGGGGGACUGAGACACGGCCCCCACUCCUACGGGAGGCAGCAGCAGGGAAUCUUGGGCAAUGGACGAAAGUCUGACCCAGCGACAUCGCGUGGGGGAUGAAGGCCUUAGGGUUGUAAACUCCUUUUAUAAGAGAAGAGUAAGGACGGUACCUUAUGAAUAAGCCCCGGCUAACUACGUGCCAGCAGCCGCGGUAAUACGUAGGGGGCGAGCGUUACCCGGAAUCACUGGGCGUAAAGAGAGCGUAGGCGGUUUGGAAAGUCAUUUGUGAAAGCUCCUGGCUCAACUAGGAGAGGUCAAGUGAAACUUCCUGACUUGAGGACGGUAGAGGUAAGCGGAAUUCUUGGUGUAGCGGUGAAAUGCGUAGAUAUCAAGAAGAACACCAGAGGCGAAGGCGGCUUACUGGGCCGUUUCUGACGCUGAGGCUCGAGAGCGUGGGUAGCAAACAGGAUUAGAUACCCUGGUAGUCCACGCC